UACACUCCUACGGGAGGCAGCAGUGGGGAAUUUUGGACAAUGGGCGAAAGCCUGAUCCAGCAAUGCCGCGUGUGUGAAGAAGGCCUUCGGGUUGUAAAGCACUUUUGUCCGGAAAGAAAUCCUUGGCUCUAAUACAGUCGGGGGAUGACGGUACCGGAAGAAUAAGCACCGGCUAACUACGUGCCAGCAGCCGCGGUAAUACGUAGGGUGCGAGCGUUAAUCGGAAUUACUGGGCGUAAAGCGUGCGCAGGCGGUUUGCUAAGACCGAUGUGAAAUCCCCGGGCUCAACCUGGGAACUGCAGUGGUGACUGGCAGGCUAGAGUAUGGCAGAGGGGGGUAGAAUUCCACGUGUAGCAGUGAAAUGCGUAGAGAUGUGGAGGAAUACCGAUGGCGAAGGCAGCCCCCUGGGCCAAUACUGACGCUCAUGCACGAAAGCGUGGGGAGCAAACAGGAUUAGAUACCCUUGUAGUCCCAUGAU
This 478-nucleotide ribosomal RNA is filed under the name uncultured organism. RNAcentral's name for it is "partial 16S ribosomal RNA". It matches the Rfam family "Bacterial small subunit ribosomal RNA", at positions 332 to 801 of the family's 1533-position model. The record is from RNAcentral.